Long non-coding RNA from Lutra lutra (Eurasian river otter), 1258 nucleotides. RefSeq lists it as uncharacterized. NCBI's taxonomy places the organism in Eukaryota, Metazoa, Chordata, Mammalia, Carnivora, Mustelidae. The record is from RefSeq and is a predicted model, not a curated record. The transcript has 3 exons.
GAGCGAGCCGCGGCAGCGAGCGGUCCGUCUCGCACGCGCGGGCACCGCGCUGGUCCUGGGCUGCAGGUUUCCCAGAUGAUGGCAUCCGAGAACUUAAACAAAGGGGGACGCCGCCGGCGCAAAGCGGCUGCGGAAAGUUGCGGUGGCGGAUUUCCAAGGAGCGUGGCCACGACCCGAGCCCUUGGCGAUGCGAGCUCUCUCUUUCCACCCCCGCCGAGACAGAGAUGGGGGCCGGCUGGUGAAGGAAAAAGGAAACUUUGAAACCACUGGGGAUACAUCUGCCUAUAGACUGGUAGCGAACGCCCCGAGCCGCGGAGAGAACGCCAACCUCUCGGCCGGACACUAAGAACAACUGCUGGGAAAAAAAUAAAACACCAGCCCCAACCGUCAGCAACAAGGUAACAGAGCCAUUCGACCUCAUUUUUCUACUGUUCAAUUUUUUCCUUGUUAUAUUUGUUUCCUAAUUUCUGCCCAAAAGGAAAGAUGUCGCAUCAGACUGUGACUGUUGCGAGGAGAAUGAAAAAGGACUCUUGUUUCAGAGGCAACCAAGAGCUCCGGCAAUAGCAACUUCAGAGAAAUGCACCAUCGCAAGAAGUUUUCCUAGGACAGAACAAAACUUGAAACGAAAGGACCAGAGGAGGAGAGCAGGAGCCAGCCUCUCCUCUCCGCACACGCGAGCAGCCAGCAUCACCACGCCUUCAAGGACGAAAAAAAAAGUUUUACUACUCGAAAGGAAACCGAGUGAAAUGUGUUCCUGAGGAGGAGAGAAGAGAGCGGGCGAGGGGAAGGAGCAGUCCGGUUGCUGGCCAUCCAUAAUUUGGUUAAGGAAGAAAGGAACGGCUGCUUUCUUUGUUGUCUCCCGUGAAAUCUUCACUUAGCAGGUGGACUGAGCCCCGCGCCCAGGCAGAGUCCUCACUCGCCUGAGGACAGCAGGAGGAGCCGGAGCCGGCGCGCCCCGCCAAAGAGCCCGGAGCGCAGGCCAGCGCCCCGCCCGGUGAGCCCCGCUGGAGCGAGCGGAACGCGCCGGGGCUGGGGGGCGGCCACGACCCCCCCUGAAGGGGGCGGCCACGGAGCGCGCCCCGAGAAGCGAGCCCCCCUUCCCAGAGCGCUGCUCCUGCUGCUGCUGCUGCUGCUGCUGCUGACCAAGGCCGGCCGGCGACCCCCGCGCCCUGCCGAGCGGCCUUGCAGCUGCAGCCGGGGGCCGCGGCGGCGGCGGCGGCGGCGGGGGCGGAGGCGGCGGAGGAGGAGGCGGCGGCGA